Molecule: RNA transcript, 6358 nt
Organism: Musa acuminata AAA Group (dessert banana)
Lineage: Eukaryota; Viridiplantae; Streptophyta; Magnoliopsida; Zingiberales; Musaceae
Gene name: F-box/LRR-repeat protein 4
Exons: 2
Source: RefSeq, a predicted model, not a curated record
UGUCCACCGCUUGCUCCGGAAAACCCUAUCCGCCCUCUCCCUCUUCUCGAUCCUCUGCUUCGAGGUGCCCAUCGACGACCACUGGUUACCGCCCGUGAAGCCAUCGUCUGGCAUCUACUCCUUCGCUCGGGGGAUGGGAAUGCCCUCCGAACCACAAUCCCGACAAGCUCCUCUCUGUUGCGAGAUUACUGCCACCACCUCCGCAAGGACAAGGGGAUCGAGAGCCUCAAUGUGGCCUGAGCCGAAGCUCUAGGGAGACGCUCAAGGCAGUGCAGUGGUGGAGCAGCUCAUCAUCACAGUGGCGCGGCUGGGGAGCACCAUCCUUCCGCUGAUCGUAGCCCUCCAGGUCGGAAAUUGGAAUGUAGAGGCCACCGCUGGAGUAGAUAGGGGAAGGUUUCCGACCGUGAGAAUUCCCUAUGCGUGGAGCACUCAAAGCAAUUACAGAGUUCGCCGUAGUGUCAUCGUUGAUGCAGUUGUACUGACGGGGGGGAGAAGGCACAGCUGCCUGCAUUACACAUCCCCAGGAGAGAUGCAGCAAUGCUGAAGAGAGAAGAUUAUCCACUGGCACAGCAUCCCUGCCUACCAACUUGAGCUUUAUCCGGUUGGACUGCAUGGGCACAGACAGUCAUAUGAAUUGUGAGCUCUAUCAUGACCGGUUAGCAUUUCUUCCUCUCCCUAAAUACGAAUCCACUAUACCUGAGGCCAAUUCAGAAUGAUUUCCAUGGAUUCAUUGAGCUGAAAACAGUGUAUCAUCGAGGGAUGGAUUGCGGGUCUUGUUACAUCCUGGUUUAAUCACAUUGGAUGUGUCGAAAAAUAUGAAUUGGAUUAUAAGAGUUCGAUGGAUGUACAAAAAUUAACUUUGACUUAAGCAUUCGGAGUCAGUAGUUUAAACUCAAUGAAAUUAAUAGAUCAAUGUUGAAAAUUUUGAAUUGGAUUAUAAGAGUUUGAUGGAUGGUACAACAAUUAACUUUGGCUUAAGCAUUUGGAGUCAGUAGUUUAAACUCAAUGAAAUUAAUAGAUCAGUUAUUCUAUUAAGGAUCCUGUCAAGUCGGAUCAUGAACUGGGUGUCUGGACAUAUAAACAGAGGUUUGAAAUGUUCAUGUUAGCCAAAGUCCGAUGCAACAGUUCGCCUUGAUUGUUAUUCUCUUCGAUGCUAUUUCCUUCACUUGAUAUGACAAAUUUCACAAAUCGAUGGUGCUACAAGUUUGGUCUUCUUUGACGCUUCUUCCCUUCUAUCACUGAAGGUAUGUAUCUGAUACUUUGACAUGCACUGGUGCAAUGCUAUGGAACAUACAAGAAAUACAUUACUAUGUUUUUUUUACUGCAAAUCACAUUAUGAUUAGCAGGUAAACACAUGAAAGCAAACAGAUACUUCAAACAAAAUUGAGAAGCUAGCUUAAGAAUUUUUAACUAAUAUUUAGAUUUGACUACAAUACUAAUUAAUUAUUUAUCUGGUCUCAUCUCAAACUUUUGUCAAGCAGGCUAGUGCAUCAAGAAAAAUCAAUCAGUUAAAAGUUAUGAUCAUGAUGGAUAUUUACCAUGUGACUUAUUUUUCAAACAUACUUGUAAUGCUUAGUAGCCUGUCAUAAAGCUUGCCUACCUCAUAAGCUACUGUUUAUUUGCUUUUUGUGUGAUGGUUAAAUUGUGCUGUGGUUUCAUGGAUACAAAUGAGACUUUAUUUUAGUUUGAGCAUGUUCUUCUACAAUCAUAUUUAGAUGAUCUGCUCAUGUAGAUUACAAGAAAUGAACUUUAUGUAGCCUUCCACAUAUCAAUCUAUCAUGAUUACGAAACAGGGAAAAAAGAUAUUUCUGGUUGUUUCUGUUGAAUCUCUCUAGAUAAGUCAUUGGCAUAGUAUAUGACUUUAUCCUAGCUCAUAUAAUGUUAUAACUCUAAAAGAUGCAGUGUGUUUUAUAUAAAUUCACUGAUCAGGAAAAUUAGAGACUUGAACAUAUGUUUUUAUCCUAAACAAAUUUAAUAGGAAGAAAAUAUGAUUUUGUUAAUGUCUUGAGCUAAUUCUGUAAGAAUCUUGGUCGCAUGCAUGGUAAGCAGAUGGUGACAAUUAAUGUAGAGGUUCCUUCACACUUGUUGUAGGCCAGAGGCAACCUCUUGUCUGAUGCUCAGUGUAGUUUCCCUCAUGACCCACUAAAAUUCUGCACAUAGAUUGGAUCCUUGUCCAUCAAAAAAUUCACUUGCAAUGCUAUUAUGCUGAAAGGUUUGGUGCAAAGUCUCAUCUGUAUAUUAUUAAAUAGGUUAAAGUCAUCUAGCAUUAUCAAGUCAACAGUUUGAUGAUCCUUUUGAACUAAUUUUAGAUAAGCUCUUUGAUCAUGGUAUGAUAGAUAGGAAUUUCAAUCAGCUCAAAAGUUCUAGGUUCUGGACCACCCACAACAUGUGAAUAUAUACUUACCGUGGCCCUCGAAAAGAUUGGGUAUUAUGCCAUUAUUUGCUAGGCACAAGAGUUCACUAGAUGCAAUAUGUUUUCUGGGGUUGCUGCAAUUGUAUUUUUUUACGACCUAGAUGUUGGCCUUUCUCCCAGGAAUACCAUGUACAUAUAGCAACUUAUUUCUGGCUGCUUGUUAAUUUUCAGAAGACAAAAUAAUAACAAAGAGAAAAAUGUGAUUAAAGAAAAAAGUUUACUCCAUGCCAUAUGUUUGAUGGAAUUGAUAGAUUAGGAAAAAUCACAUAUCAACAUUAUCUCCAAGAGAACAAUUUGUCAAGAAUAUAUGCCUCCUCUUCUUUGCUAGUUAUCUGCAUGAGUCUGCUUCUUUAAAGAUUAAAUAUCACAUUUUCCACAUGAAUCCCUUGACCUGCAACACAAUUCCAUUCUAGAAAAAGACAUCAGGGGGCUCCUUUUCCAAAGUUGUAAGAGCAAAUUUUCAUUCAUUGGGCUAAUACCAUGUGUGGUCUUAAUUUCCAAUGUGAAGUGAAUCUGAUUCUGCUCUCCUUGCUUCCUCUGAAACUUCAUUAGGUAAGACUUAGGAAGCUAAUCCCUGCAAAACCUUUAGCUCUAGGUAGAAUAUGGGACUUGAAAAGAUCAACCUGAAAGCCUUUCUAAAAGUUUAGGCUUGACCCAACUGGAAGAAUGACCUUGUUUGGUUACUUUUGUUUUAUUUAUCUUGGUGGGUUUUGUGCCUGCAAUCAGAUACUUGUAUGCCACCUUUACUUAAUUUUUUCUGUAAUGUCCUUUUACUUGAGAGUAAUGCUAUUUAGUAUGACUUGCCAAACACUGCUUGUGAAAUCAAUCUAUGAAAAUAAAAUUCAUGGUUGUUCUUAAGCUAAAUUAAUCAUCCACACUUGCUAUAUUAUCAUUUUGCUUGCAUGAAGAGCUACAUGCUGAGGGAAUAGACAUAUGUCAGAAUUGACUACUGAUGGUAUUGAGGAACCAAACUUGUUUUAUGCAUCCUCCUGUGUCAUCAUGAUGAGAACCUUCUCACUGGCCACAUGAGAUUUGACCAGUAGAUAAUUCCAAUAUUAGUUGGCAGCAUUUUCUUGUUAGGAAAAAGGAAUUAAUUAUCACAGGGAAGAAAGUUGACAACAUGGCUGCCACCUUCAUGGUGAUGUUAUAGUGUGAUCUGCUUCACCCACCACUGCAUGGUGAGUCGUACGUACAUAAAACCUAAAUUACUUGUGCCAAUCUUAAGAGUUAAAAGGCAUGGUAGAUUGAACCAACCAAAAUUACAAUUGAACCCUGUGCUUCAGCUGGUUUUUUCUUGCCAACCGGACUGAGAAAGGACUUCUACCCCUUCGUAGUCGCUGUUCCUUCCCUUGCGUGGGCCCCAAGUAACUGUUGCAGUCAUCAGUCUGGUAGAACCGACGGGUAUGAGUUGGCCGGGAAGGGUACUCAGCAUCUUACACGGUGCGGUUGCUUCGUGUGGUGCUCUCUAGUGGGUCCCAUGCGGCUUUUCCGGUAUUUUAGCGUGUACGGAACGGGUAUGAAGAGAAGAAGCGUGUGGGAGCUGAGAGGGGUAGCGGUGAAACGAACACGGUGGCGGUUGAUGAAUCAAUGGCGGCAAAAGCAGAGUCCAGAGAGGCGCCUCCUCAGCCACACGGCAGCGCCGGUGGGACCGCCACACUUCUCUGUUGUCUCUUCUCCUCCUUUCCUCCCUUCCCCACCUUUUUCUUCCAUCCGUCCGCGUCGCCAUCAUCCCCAACCUCCUCUCCCUCUUUUCUCCUCCUCCUCCUCCCUUCAUCGUCCGUCGAAACGUGAGAGGUGGUAGGGGAGAGAGAGUUCGAAAGGGAGAGGCAAGGAGGAGAAGAGGGUGAGAUGGAUAUGGUGUUGUGUGAUGAGCUGGUUCAGGAGAUCCUGCGGCGGCUGCCUCCCUCCUCCGCCCCGUCCGUCUCCCUCGUCUCCAAGCGUUGGCUCUGCCUCCUCCGCUCCUCCACCACCUCCCUCUCCCCCCGCAUCCCCCCACAUCAAACGACCCCGAUUAUUUCUCCGAGCAAUAAUUCGCCAUCACUCCCCUCCAUCCUCUCCCACUACCCCUUCCUCACCGACCUCACCGUCGUGGACGAGGACAACCCCGCCGACGACCUCCUCCUCGCCAUCGCCGCCGCCGCCUGCUCCUCCCGUCUCGCCCACCUGCGCUUCCUCCCGGCCUCCCCUCUAUCCCCUACCGCCCUACUCUCCUCCUCCACCGCCUUCGCUGGCCUCACUACUCUCCAAAUCGCCUCCCUCCUCCCCCUCUCCUUUCGCUGGCUCUCCUUCCUCCCCUCCCUCAAGUCCUUCUCCCUCGUCCGCUCCCGCUCCAAGCGCCCCCCCUCCCUUCGACAAGAAGCGCAACAGCUGCCGCCGGCUGCUGACGACGAUGGGGACCGGUCGGCCCUCAUGCUGCUGCCGCUGGAGAGCCUGUCUUUGUCUGGCAUCUGCGCCUCCGACCGCGGCCUCUCCUGGCUGUGGCGCCGCUGCGCCGGCCUCCGGUGGCUGCAGCUGCGCGCCUGCGAGGGAACCGGCGACGGCCCCUCCUCCCCCGUCUUCCCCCUCUGCCUCCCGGGUCUCCUCGUGCUCGAGCUCCGCACCUGCCGCGCUAUCGCCGACCGCGUCCUCCUCCACGCCGCCGACCACUGCCGCGCCCUCACCUCCCUUCUGCUCUACGACGGCGGCAGCCGCGACGCCCUUCACCACUUCAUCCACCGCCGCGGCGCCGCGCUCCGCACCCUCGACCUCCGCCUCCCGCUCGACCUCCACAACGACCACCUCUUCGCCAUCGCGGCCGACGACCGCGGCGACAGUGGCAAGCCUGGGGGCCACCGGCUCGCGGCGCUCCGCCUGCACAGCUGUUGCCUGGUCACAGGGGACGGACUCCGGUCGCUCGCCCGGUCUCCCGCUGGCGCGGCGAUCGAGGAGCUCGCCCUGGUGAACUGCGAUGUGGUGGAGAAGGAGUCCGGGCUGCUGACCUGCCUCAGCCAGAGCAUGCAGCGGCUGCGGAGGGUGGACUUGUCCCACAACGAGGGUUUGGCCGACAAGGAAGUGGGAUCGAUGCUGGCUUCUUGCAGGAAUCUGGUGGAGAUGAGGGUGAGGGGGUGCAGAGCACUGACGGGUGCUGCAUUGAGUUCCUUGCUGAAGCACUGUGGCAAGCAGGUGGAAGUCGUCGACAUCACUUGGUGCCCAGGAAUCGUCAGUGAUGCUGUUGAGAUGCUGGUCAUGAAUGCCUCCUGCCGAUUGAGGCAAUUGAUGGUCGAGGAAAACAAAGUCAAUGAAGCUGCUGCAGUUUGGCUGUCUCAGAAAGGGAUCAAGAUUGGUUGAUCAGAAGAAAGUUCUUCACAUGCCAGCAACAAAGAAGGGUACUCACUUUUAUCUAUAAGCUCUACAAGAAAUUAAUUGAUCUUUCUUUCUUGAAGUAACUCAGAUGAUUUGUAGUCAGUCACCUUAACAAAAUGUGAUGCAUCUAUAGUGCCACAUUCCAUGAACCCACCAUAUUUGCAUCUGCAUCUUAAGUUCCAGUGACUAAUUCAGGGAAUGCAGAUGGAUCCUCCCCAACCAAUUGAGGAGAGCAAAGUCAGGGAUAGAUGCUGUUUCAGAAAGGGAUUAAGAUUGGUUUGAUCAGAGAAAGGAGGAGCCGGCAGGCAUUAUACAAAUGUUCCGACGACAAAUGGGUAUAUUGCUUUAAUACUCCCCAAUGUGACCAAAUAGUCAAAAACACUUUGGUUCUCAUCCUAUCAAGACUGUUGAUGAAGGCAAUUAAUUUCAUGGUUUAGUUGAUGAAUGGGCCGAAAGUAAGUGGUCAUGUUCUUCCUUUCUUUCUCAUCACCUUCUCCCAGUUUAUGAUGCGCAUGUAUCAUCGAUAAAGAGAAGAUGGAAUGUAGUAUGGAUUCUAGUAUUAUUACGUCUUAUUUGAUAUGAUGAUAAAAAAAGUUAAAUGGA